ACGCUCGACACCUACGGGAGGCAGCAGUGGGGAAUAUUGCACAAUGGGGGAAACCCGUGAUGCAGCGACGCCGCGUGAAGGAAGAAGUAUUUCGGUAUGUAAACUUCUAUCAGCAGGGAAGAAAAUGACGGUACCUGACUAAGAAGCCCGGCUAACUACGUGUCAGCAGCCGCGGUAAUCUGAGCGGGCGUGGCAAGGC
RNAcentral lists this ribosomal RNA (199 nucleotides) under uncultured bacterium. RNAcentral's name for it is "partial 16S ribosomal RNA". It matches the Rfam family "Bacterial small subunit ribosomal RNA", at positions 328 to 538 of the family's 1533-position model. The record is from RNAcentral.